AUGCCCAACAAAAGCCACUGAAGGGAAGCUUACCAGAGUGCCAUCGAGUUCCUUCCCCUAAGGAUCAGACUUCCAGACUCAAGUGUCAUUUGACCUGGUAUCCAGCUUAAUACAGCCUCUGCUUUUGAAUAGAUUUCCUUACAAGUGGCAAUCUCUAAUAGGGUCAUGUCGAGAGGCAACCCGACUGCAUACUAUCUACUGCACGUUAACGUGAUGAAGGUCUCUCCUGAGCACACGGCUUCAUAAACCAGCUGCACAAGCAACUGCAUCUGGGGAUCUGCUUCAAGAGAAACUUACCUAAAGCAAGAAUGGGCUCUAACUUCAGGAUACCUAGGAUUCUAACCUCGUUCCACUACUUAUCAACCAUAUGACCUGGGAAAAAUUAUAUACCUGCUCCCAGCGAAAUGAUGAGAGAGAAAAGAGGGAGAGAAUGAUUCUCAUACCGACGGUUUUAAAUGUGCAAUAACUUUAUGAUUCUUGAGUGAAACUGGCUAUCAAAAUCAGUCCCAACUCAAUACCAUCUGAAAAAGAAGAUCAUUCUUGGAAUAAGAGCCCUUUCGGUCGGAUGUGUCAGAGCCAAUCACAGGCUCCGGGGUCCCGUGGUGACUGCCGGCCGCCACAUACGGUGGGUUCUGAUAAAAAUCACAUCUGAUAAAUUCACUUCUGCUUGCCUGCUUGGCUGGAAAGAAGGUUUUAGUCCAAAAUCAACAAUGAUGAACUGAAAUCUAUCGGGCUGGGAAAUGCUUUUAGCCCUCCCUCUGGGCUGUACCACUUCACUACUUUGCUUCUCCUUUUGCCUUCCCACAUUGUCCCCAAGCCCAAGGAAGCAAAAGGUAGACACUGGGCGGGGCCCUUCCCUCUCUCUGCAGCAGUGGCAGAAGGAGCAUGUCUCCUCACUCCUGAUAUGCCUGGCCUCAUGCUACCUGCAGCCCCUUUGCCGUCUUUUCUUGCCUUGGCUACUGAAAGCAACGUCUCCUGGCACCACAGAAUAUGCAAGGUGAUUUCUCUGCCUUUUCACUUAUGGCAGAAACGCCUUAUGAUAGCACCUUUUUUAUCGUCAUUCCUGUCUUUUUUUGAUGCAUGUGGUGAGGGAGAACAGUCAAAUAAGAAGCCUUUGGAGAAACUUACAAAGGAGCUGUGUGUCAUGGCAGAGAUGGCUGAUUGCAAUGAUUUAACUGUGAGCCUUUGUAUCCACCCUCAUGCUCUUACUCACUCUCACAUCCUCAUACUUCCACAUCCUGAGCCCCAAAAUGACUUUCUUUCUUUUUUCUCUGGGAACGGAGCCUGGGUCUGGACCAGGGAGUGGCCAGCCACAAAGAGAAUAUUUUGGAGGUGUAUCCGGUCCUCACAGUGGUAAGCUGGGCAGCCAAAGCAGUGAACAAUCUCUUCUGUUUAUGCUGGGGUGGGAGGGAAGAUGAACCAUUUGAAAUGAUGCACAGUUAUAGAGUUCAUGCCCUGGCCAGAUUUUUCCCAGUCUCAUUCUAGCAUCAGAGAGGAUCAGAUUUACAAGCAAACCUAAAAGUCGGGCAGGCUUGAAAAAAGGGAGGCAAAUGGGAAGGAAUCCUGAUGUUGUUUCACUUAUUUUGCUGAAUUCCCACCCACCUUCAGCUGUCCCAUUAAGGAAUGAACACAUUCCAAAGAGAAAGGCAAGAACAUGGACCUGCUAAUGAUCAUUUUGGAUACAGAAAACUGAUAGGAAAGACUUGUGCAAGUCUGGCUUGAAAUAGUACUGGAUCCUGGAACCACUGUCUUUAGGAACCAAUCAUGAUGAACCCCGUAUACCUGCAGCCACAUUUGUUAUCAAGCGUGGAGCCUGUCCCCUGGUUCCUGCAUUAGGCUUCACUUUCCAACCUAUAAUUGCAUUCGUCCAGAUACUUUGCCUUACAUUUUUAAUUCCACAUUUAAUGUGGACCAGAGGCUCUCUUCUUUUGGUAACAUAGAAUAUCUACCAUUGCUACUUCUGGUUCCUCAGGAACUUGAGAACAUACCCCUCUAGUGCUGAGCAGUGUGGCUACUAUUCACUCUAGGGGUAACCCUGACUCUGAGAAUGGGAAAAAUAUACAUAAGUUUAUAAACAAACCUCUAUGAACCAUUGAUCCAAUAAAUGACCAAAAUGAUU
Pan troglodytes (chimpanzee) is the source of this 2119-nucleotide long non-coding RNA. RefSeq lists it as uncharacterized. The transcript has 4 exons. The record is from RefSeq and is a predicted model, not a curated record. Lineage: Eukaryota; Metazoa; Chordata; Mammalia; Primates; Hominidae.